AAAACGCGAAGGAGUCUAACAUGUGCACAAGUCAUUGGGUGAAAAACCUAAAGGCGUAAUGAAAAGUAAAAUUAAACUUUAGUUUAAUGAUGGAAGAUCCCUUGCUUUUUCCUAAGAGUAAUGGCUUGGGCGCAUUCCGGGGGCACUAUGAAUGCUUUGCCAUUGUAGUGCACCAAGAGUGUACACGUUGGGACCCGAAAGAUGGUGAACUAUGCCUGGUAAGGUUGAAGCCAGAGGAAACUCUGGUGGAGGACCGUUUCGAUUCUGACGUGCAAAUCGAUCGUCAGAACUGGGUAUAGGGGCGAAAGACUAAUCGAACCAUCUAGUAGCUGGUUCCCUCCGAAGUUUCCCUCAGGAUAGCUGGUGUUCAUUGUAAGAGGAUGAGUUUCAUCCGGUAAAGCGAAUGAUUAGAGGCCUUGGGGUCGAAAUGUCCUCAACCUAUUCUCAAACUUUAAAUGGGUGAGAUGCCGGGCUUGCUUGAAUGAAGUCCAAUAGGCAUUAGAAUCAUAGUAACACCCAGUGGGCCACUUUUGGUAAGCAGAACUGGCGCUGUGGGAUGAACCAAACGUUAUGUUAAGGCGCCAAAAUAGACGCAAAUCUGAUCCCAUGAAGGGUGUCGGUUGCUCUAGACAGCAGGACGGUGGCCAUGGAAGUCGGAAUCCGCUAAGGAGUGUGUAACAACUCACCUGCCGAAGCAACCAGCCCUGAAAAUGGAUGGCGCUAUAGCGUCUUGCCUAUACAUAACCGCUAGAACAGAGCUGGCUUCUUUAAUUACAGGGCCCUUAA
This 786-nucleotide ribosomal RNA is filed under the name Bairdiocopina sp. New Zealand. RNAcentral's name for it is "eukaryotic LSU rRNA". It matches the Rfam family "Eukaryotic large subunit ribosomal RNA", at positions 668 to 1372 of the family's 3401-position model. The record is from RNAcentral. Lineage: Eukaryota; Metazoa; Arthropoda; Ostracoda; Podocopida.